Molecule: ribosomal RNA, 464 nt
Filed under: Vreelandella stevensii
Lineage: Bacteria; Pseudomonadati; Pseudomonadota; Gammaproteobacteria; Oceanospirillales; Halomonadaceae
Description: partial 16S ribosomal RNA
Rfam family: Bacterial small subunit ribosomal RNA
Source: RNAcentral
CCUACGGGGUGCUGCAGUGGGGAAUAUUGGACAAUGGGCGAAAGCCUGAUCCAGCCAUGCCGCGUGUGUGAAGAAGGCCUUCGGGUUGAAAAGCACUUUCAGUGGGGAAGAAAGCCUUGGGGCUAAUACCCUCGAGGAAGGACAUCACCCACAGAAGAAGCACCGGCUAACUCCGUGCCAGCAGCCGCGGUAAUACGGAGGGUGCGAGCGUUAAUCGGAAUUACUGGGCGUAAAGCGCGCGUAGGCGGUCUGAUAAGCCGGUUGUGAAAGCCCCGGGCUCAACCUGGGAACGGCAUCCGGAACUGUCAGGCUAGAGUGCAGGAGAGGAAGGUAGAAUUCCCGGUGUAGCGGUGAAAUGCGUAGAGAUCGGGAGGAAUACCAGUGGCGAAGGCGGCCUUCUGGACUGACACUGACGCUGAGGUGCGAAAGCGUGGGUAGCAAACAGGAUUAGAUACCCGGGUAGU